Molecule: ribosomal RNA, 495 nt
Filed under: uncultured bacterium
Lineage: Bacteria
Description: bacterial SSU rRNA
Rfam family: Bacterial small subunit ribosomal RNA
Source: RNAcentral
AUUGAACGCUGGCGGCAUGCUUUACACAUGCAAGUCGAACGGCAGCGGGGAGGAGCUUGCUUCUCUGCCGGCGAGUGGCGAACGGGUGAGUAAUACAUCGGAACGUGUCGAGAAGAGGGGGAUAACCACCCGAAAGGGUGGCUAAUACCGCAUAAAUUCUGAGGAAGAAAGCUGGGGACCUAGGAAUAGGCCUAGCGCUUUUUGAGCGGCCGAUGUCGGAUUAGCUAGUUGGUGAGGUAAAGGCUCACCAAGGCGAAGAUCUGUAGCGGGUCUGAGAGGAUGAUCCGCCACACUGGGACUGAGACACGGCCCAGACUCCUACGGGAGGCAGCAGUGGGGAAUUUUGGACAAUGGGGGCAACCCUGAUCCAGCCAUGCCGCGUGUAUGAAGAAGGCCUUAGGGUUGUAAAGUACUUUUGUUAGGGAAGAAAAGUCAGCUGUGAAUAAUGGCUGAUACUGACGGUACCUAAAGAAUAAGCACCGGCUAACUACGUGC